RNAcentral lists this ribosomal RNA (497 nucleotides) under uncultured bacterium. RNAcentral describes it as "partial 16S ribosomal RNA". It matches the Rfam family "Bacterial small subunit ribosomal RNA", at positions 28 to 507 of the family's 1533-position model. The record is from RNAcentral.
GAUGAACGCUGGCGGCGUGCCUAAUACAUGCAAGUCGAGCGAACGGACGGGAAGCUUGCUUCUCUGAUGUUAGCGGCGGACGGGUGAGUAACACGUGGAUAACCUACCUAUAAGACUGGGAUAACUUCGGGAAACCGGAGCUAAUACCGGAUAAUAUUUUGAACCGCAUGGUUCAAAAGUGAAAGACGGUCUUGCUGUCACUUAUAGAUGGAUCCGCGCUGCAUUAGCUAGUUGGUAAGGUAACGGCUUACCAAGGCAACGAUGCAUAGCCGACCUGAGAGGGUGAUCGGCCACACUGGAACUGAGACACGGUCCAGACUCCUACGGGAGGCAGCAGUAGGGAAUCUUCCGCAAUGGGCGAAAGCCUGACGGAGCAACGCCGCGUGAGUGAUGAAGGUCUUCGGAUCGUAAAACUCUGUUAUUAGGGAAGAACAUAUGUGUAAGUAACUGUGCACAUCUUGACGGUACCUAAUCAGAAAGCCACGGCUAACUACGUG